RNAcentral lists this long non-coding RNA (253 nucleotides) under Physcomitrium patens. RNAcentral describes it as "long non-coding RNA (PPAT_LNC001173)". Lineage: Eukaryota; Viridiplantae; Streptophyta; Bryopsida; Funariales; Funariaceae. The record is from RNAcentral.
UGUCUUUAGUUCUACCAUUAUUAACGACGCAGGCUGUCAAGAAUUGAGAUAUAUGGUGAUUGGGAUCAGAGCCCGACCAACCACUAAAAGUAGGUAAUAGUGCCAUACUUGUAGUUCGGUCUCCUAUUACUCCUAUUUGUACUACAAUUGGUACUUUUGGCACUCCUGCGGCCAUUGGUAUUAUCACUGAUUUCUUUGCUAUUUGAAUUUAAAUUUUUCUUCUUUUGAUUUUACUUGGACCUACAAUUCUUUU